UAAAGUUUUCUUAAGUCAAACCUUUUAAAGUUUAACAAAAUUUAUAGAAAAGAGCACCAAAAUUUAUGGCACUAGUAUAAAAUGUUGUCAUAAUAUGCUGAUUUGGUAUCAUAAAUACUUGUGCUCUUUUCUACAAAUUCAAUCAAACGUAAAAAAAGUUUUGAUUUAAAAUAACUCUA
Sorghum bicolor (sorghum) is the source of this 179-nucleotide microRNA precursor. It matches the Rfam family "MIR1435 microRNA precursor family". The record is from Rfam. NCBI's taxonomy places the organism in Eukaryota, Viridiplantae, Streptophyta, Magnoliopsida, Poales, Poaceae.